Molecule: long non-coding RNA, 910 nt
Organism: Zonotrichia albicollis (white-throated sparrow)
Lineage: Eukaryota; Metazoa; Chordata; Aves; Passeriformes; Passerellidae
Source: RefSeq, a predicted model, not a curated record
UCUAAGAGUUCUCACCGGGACAUCCAGAGCGGCAUCAGAGCAGGGGGAUCUGUCAGCCAGAGGGCACAGCGAGGAGGAGAAAACAUAGCAGGGGUUACUGCCAGAGAAAAGGUGCCUCCAGCCACUUUCCUCAAUCAGGAAAUCAAUGAGAGCCUGUUUGGUAAGUAAAAGUCACCUCUGUGCCUCUUCCUGAAGCCUGCAGCCCGUGAAUGAGCUUUGCUUUGCUGCCUCAUUGGUUGUCUGGCAACACAGGCACGGAGCGCAGCUCCAGCCUCAUUCAUAAUUAUCACCGAGCCUCGGGAGCUGCAAAUCCGAACGGGAACACCUCGGGCUCCUCUCCGAGCAGGUAUCUCCAUCUGAAAAAUGAGAUGCUUCACAUGGGAACAAAAUGUUUUUGACCACACAGAACCGAUGACAAGAAAUCUGAAUUUCUCUUCCUCGAGGAGUUUCAAAGUGUUGAUGGAUUGUCCUGAUGCACAACAUGAAACCCUUCCAAAAUCUUACAGCUCUUCAGGGAACAGGAAAAAUCUUCCCACACACUUCUUGCGGCAAGGGAGCCCACAUUUAAAGGAAGGUGUGUUCCCAAGAAUCUGAUCUGUGGCAAAGUGCAAGGACCCACAGUCCUCAUGUGGAGAAUGGAGGCCCUUUUUGUUUGGGGUGUGAUGGAGUUGCAGGGCCUAAGGUAGGUGAUGAGUUUGAGAGAUAAGUCAAUAGUUUUGGAGGAAAUUGUAAGAAAUGGUGGGGCUGAGUGUCCCCUCUUUGGCUCCAUGACUUUAGAGGCUCAUUUGCUCUUUCUCAGCCCUCAUUUAAAGGAAGAUGUGCUCCCAAGAGCCUGAGGUGUGGCAAAGUGCAAGGACCUGAGGGGAAAAUUUACCAAAGGUUGAUAUGAUGUGGGACUUGUGCUUGCAAA